This 383-nucleotide ribosomal RNA is filed under the name uncultured eukaryote. Its description in RNAcentral is "partial 18S ribosomal RNA". It matches the Rfam family "Eukaryotic small subunit ribosomal RNA", at positions 592 to 976 of the family's 1831-position model. The record is from RNAcentral.
CAAUAGCGUAUAUUAAAGUUGUUGCAGUUAAAAAGCUCGUAGUUGGAUUUCUGGUGGGAGCGAUCGGUCUGGCGCUUAGCGCGAGUACUUGCAUCGUCUCCGGCCAUCCUUGGGGAGAGUCUGUCUGGCAUUAGGUUGUCGGGCAGAGGAUCCUCAUCGUUUACUGUGAAAAAAUUAGAGUGUUCAAAGCAGGCUUAUGCCGUUGAAUAUAUUAGCAUGGAAUAAUAAGAUAGGACUUUGGUACUAUUUUGUCGGUUUGCGCACCAAAGUAAUGAUUAAUAGGGACAGUUGGGGGUAUUCGUAUUCCGUUGUCAGAGGUGAAAUUCUUGGAUUUACGGAAGACGAACUACUGCGAAAGCAUUUACCAAGGAUGUUUUCAUUAA